GACGAACGCUGGCGGCGUGCUUAACACAUGCAAGUCGAACGGAAAGGCCCUGCUUUUGUGGGGUGCUCGAGUGGCGAACGGGUGAGUAACACGUGAGUAACCUGCCCUUGACUUUGGGAUAACUUCAGGAAACUGGGGCUAAUACCGGAUAGGAGCUCCUGCUGCAUGGUGGGGGUUGGAAAGUUUCGGCGGUUGGGGAUGGACUCGCGGCUUAUCAGCUUGUUGGUGGGGUAGUGGCUUACCAAGGCUUUGACGGGUAGCCGGCCUGGGAGGGUGACCGGCCACAUUGGGACUGAGAUACGGCCCAGACUCCUACGGGAGGCAGCAGUGGGGAAUAUUGCACAAUGGGCGGAAGCCUGAUGCAGCAACGCCACGUGCGGGAUGACGGCCUUCGGGUUGUAAACCGCUUUCGCCUGUGACGAAGCGUGAGUGACGGUAAUGGGUAAAGAAGCACCGGCUAACUACGUG
RNAcentral lists this ribosomal RNA (468 nucleotides) under uncultured bacterium. RNAcentral's name for it is "partial 16S ribosomal RNA". It matches the Rfam family "Bacterial small subunit ribosomal RNA", at positions 28 to 507 of the family's 1533-position model. The record is from RNAcentral.